GACGAACGCUGGCGGCGUGCUUAACACAUGCAAGUCGAACGGAAAGGCCCUGCUUUUGUGGGGUGCUCGAGUGGCGAACGGGUGAGUAACACGUGAGUAACCUGCCCUUGACUUUGGGAUAACUUCAGGAAACUGGGGCUAAUACCGGAUAGGAGCUCCUGCUGCAUGGUGGGGGUUGGAAAGUUUCGGCGGUUGGGGAUGGACUCGCGGCUUAUCAGCUUGUUGGUGGGGUAGUGGCUUACCAAGGCUUUGACGGGUAGCCGGCAUGAGAGGGGGACCGGGCACAUUGGGCCUGCGAUACGGCACAGACUGGUACGGGAGGCAGCAGGGGAGAAUAUUGCACAGUGGGCGGAAGUCUGAUGCAGAAGCGCCGCGUGCGGAAUGACGGCUUUCGGGUUGUAAACCGCUGUCGCCGUUGACGAAGCGGGAGUGACGGUAAUGGGUAAAGAAGCACCGGCUAACUACGUG
This 468-nucleotide ribosomal RNA is filed under the name uncultured bacterium. Its description in RNAcentral is "partial 16S ribosomal RNA". It matches the Rfam family "Bacterial small subunit ribosomal RNA", at positions 28 to 507 of the family's 1533-position model. The record is from RNAcentral.